Pteropus vampyrus (large flying fox) is the source of this 296-nucleotide unclassified non-coding RNA. Its record names the gene 7SK. It matches the Rfam family "7SK RNA". From Rfam's summary of the family: 7SK was discovered as an abundant small nuclear RNA in the mid-70s but a possible function has only recently been suggested. Two independent studies have found that 7SK RNA binds the CDK9/cyclin T complex (known as elongation factor P-TEFb). P-TEFb activates transcription by phosphorylating the C-terminal domain of RNA polymerase II. The record is from Ensembl. Lineage: Eukaryota; Metazoa; Chordata; Mammalia; Chiroptera; Pteropodidae.
GGAUGUGAGGGCAAUCUGGCUGCGACAUCUGUCACCCCAUUGAUCGCCAGGGUUGAUUUGGCUGAUCUGGCUGGCUGGGCAGGUGUCCCCUUCCUCUCUCACCACUCCAUGUGCGUCCCUCCCGAAGCUGCGUGCUCAGUGGAAGAGGACGACCUUCCCCAACGGAGAGGACCAUUCUUCAGUCAAGGGUAUAUGAGUAGCUGCACUCCCCUACUAGAACCUCCAAACAAGCUCUCAGAAUAUUGAAUCAGUACAAUGAGAUCCUCUAAUAAUAAUUAAUUGGGGGUUCUUUUAUU